RNAcentral lists this ribosomal RNA (401 nucleotides) under uncultured bacterium. RNAcentral's name for it is "bacterial SSU rRNA". It matches the Rfam family "Bacterial small subunit ribosomal RNA", at positions 355 to 773 of the family's 1533-position model. The record is from RNAcentral.
UGGGGAAUAUUGGACAAUGGGGGCAACCCUGAUCCAGCCAUGCCGCGUGAGUGAUGAAGGCCUUCGGGUUGUAAAGCUCUUUUGGCGGGGACGAUGAUGACGGUACCCGCAGAAUAAGCCCCGGCUAACUUCGUGCCAGCAGCCGCGGUAAGACGAAGGGGGCUAGCGUUGUUCGGAAUUACUGGGCGUAAAGGGCGCGUAGGCGGUCUUGUUAGUCAGGCGUGAAAGCCCUGGGCUCAACCUGGGAUGUGCGCUUGAUACUGCGAGGCUUGAGUGCAGGAGAGGAUGGUGGAAUUCCCAGUGUAGAGGUGAAAUUCGUAGAUAUUGGGAAGAACACCGGUGGCGAAGGCGGCCAUCUGGACUGCAACUGACGCUUAGGCGCGAAAGCGUGGGGAGCAAAC